GACAGAGGGUGCAAACGUUGUUCGGAAUUACUGGGCGUAAAGCGCGUGUAGGCUGUUGCGAAAGUCGGGUGUGAAAUCCCUGGGCUCAACCCAGGAAGUGCACUCGAAACUUCGCGACUAGAGUCUCGGAGAGGGAAGCGGAAUUCUGGGUGUAGAGGUGAAAUUCGUAGAUAUCCAGAGGAACACCAGUGGCGAAGGCGGCUUCCUGGACGAUCACUGACGCUGAGACGCGAAAGCGUGGGGAG
RNAcentral lists this ribosomal RNA (245 nucleotides) under uncultured bacterium. RNAcentral describes it as "partial 16S ribosomal RNA". It matches the Rfam family "Bacterial small subunit ribosomal RNA", at positions 524 to 768 of the family's 1533-position model. The record is from RNAcentral.